This 609-nucleotide ribosomal RNA is filed under the name uncultured fungus. RNAcentral describes it as "eukaryotic LSU rRNA". It matches the Rfam family "Eukaryotic large subunit ribosomal RNA", at positions 23 to 673 of the family's 3401-position model. The record is from RNAcentral. Lineage: Eukaryota; Fungi.
ACCCGCUGAACUUAAGCAUAUCAAUAAGCGGAGGAAAAGAAACCAACAGGGAUUGCCUUAGUAACGGCGAGUGAAGCGGCAAAAGCUCAAAUUUGAAAUUGGCCCCCAGGUCGAGUUGUAAUUUGUAGAUUGUAUCUUGAGAGCGGAUUAAAGUCUGUUGGAACACGGCGCCUUAGAGGGUGACAGCCCCGUAAAAUCUAUUCUCAUUGUAAGAUACUUUCGAAGAGUCGAGUUGUUUGGGAAUGCAGCUCUAAGUGGGAGGUAAAUUCCUUCUAAAGCUAAAUAUUGACGAGAGACCGAUAGCGAACAAGUACUGUGAAGGAAAGAUGAAAAGCACUUUGAAAAGAGAAUGAAAAAGUACGUGAAAUUGUUAAAAGGGAAGGGUAUUGAAUCGGACUUGGUGCUGUUGUUCAACUGUGUUUUGGCACAGUGUACUCAGCAGUACUAGGCCAAGGUGGGGUGUUUGGGAGUGAAAAAGAAGUUGGAACGUAACUCUUCGGAGUGUUAUAGCCUACUUUCAUAGCUCCUCAGGCGCCUCAGGACUGCGCUUCGGCAAGGACCUUGGCAUAAUGAUUCUAUACCGCCCGUCUUGAAACACGGACCAAGGAG